This 305-nucleotide long non-coding RNA is filed under the name Elaeis guineensis (African oil palm). RNAcentral describes it as "long non-coding RNA (EGUI_LNC052963)". The record is from RNAcentral. Lineage: Eukaryota; Viridiplantae; Streptophyta; Magnoliopsida; Arecales; Arecaceae.
UCAAUCAUAUAAUGAUUGAGUUCAUCUUUAUAUAUAAAUUAUUGAUUAAUGAAUAAAAAUUAUUCUGAUAUUUUUCAUCAUAAAGUUACAUCUUCCUUGAACUCUUGUGUUGUGAUGAAGUUUCUAGAACUAUGUUAGUGUGCGAUAAAGAGAUGAUUUAUCAUAUAGUUUUUAAACAUAUUUGCGAUCAAAUGAUACGUCAUUAUAGGAUGAUGACGUUUAUCGAGUGGAGGUCAUUGUGUACCAUAUGGGUUGGUUGUCCUCUUAACCAAGGAGUGUGGUGACAUUGGUAUGGCAUACAAGUG